RNAcentral lists this long non-coding RNA (227 nucleotides) under Brassica rapa (field mustard). RNAcentral describes it as "long non-coding RNA (BRAP_LNC000089)". Lineage: Eukaryota; Viridiplantae; Streptophyta; Magnoliopsida; Brassicales; Brassicaceae. The record is from RNAcentral.
UAUCUUUCGCUUGAUUUUGAAUGAUCACGUUUGAUGUUUUUUCUUAUUUUUGAAUCGAUUUUACUUAUGUUUUGGCUAUUAAAAUAUGUACAAAUCAUGUAUUUUAAAUCCGAAGAACCGAUUUCAUUUAUGUUUUAGUUACAAAAUAGGUACAAAUCAGGUAUUUUUAAACCGAAGAACCGAUUGAGACCCGAACCCGAAAGUACAAUGGGUUAUACCGGUUCUUU